This 253-nucleotide ribosomal RNA is filed under the name uncultured bacterium. RNAcentral's name for it is "partial 16S ribosomal RNA". It matches the Rfam family "Bacterial small subunit ribosomal RNA", at positions 524 to 776 of the family's 1533-position model. The record is from RNAcentral.
UACGAAGGGGGCUAGCGUUGCUCGGAAUUACUGGGCGUAAAGCGCACGUAGGCGGUCUUUUAAGUCGGUGGUGAAAUCCUGGAGCUCAACUCCAGAACUGCCUUUGAUACUGAGGAUCUUGAGUUCGGGAGAGGUGAGUGGAACUGCGAGUGUAGAGGUGAAAUUCGUAGAUAUUCGCAAGAACACCAGUGGCGAAGGCGGCUCACUGGCCCGAUACUGACGCUGAGGCACGAAAGCGUGGGGAGCAAACAGG